Molecule: ribosomal RNA, 273 nt
Filed under: uncultured bacterium
Lineage: Bacteria
Description: partial 16S ribosomal RNA
Rfam family: Bacterial small subunit ribosomal RNA
Source: RNAcentral
AUACGGAGGGUGCAAGCGUUACUCGGAAUUAUUGGGCGUAAAGCGAGUCUAGGCGGCUUGUUAAGUCAGAUGUGAAAAUGCGGGGCUCAACUCCGUAUUGCGUUUGAAACUGGCAGGCUAGAGUACUGGAGAGGUGGGCGGAACUACAAGUGUAGAGGUGAAAUUCGUAGAUAUUUGUAGGAAUGCCGAUAGUGAAGACAGCUCACUGGACAGAUACUGACGCUAAAGCUCGAAAGCGUGGGGAGCGAACAGGAUUAGAAACCCUAGUAGUCC